Molecule: ribosomal RNA, 207 nt
Filed under: uncultured bacterium
Lineage: Bacteria
Description: partial 16S ribosomal RNA
Rfam family: Bacterial small subunit ribosomal RNA
Source: RNAcentral
CGCGUAGGCGGGCCUUCAAGUCGGGUGUGAAAACUGUCGGCUUAACUGACAGCCUGCACUCGAUACUGUCGGUCUUGAGUACGGAAGAGGAGAGCGGAAUUCCAGGUGUAGCGGUGAAAUGCGUAGAUAUCUGGAAGAACACCGGUAGCGAAGGCGGCUCUCUGGUCCGAUACUGACGCUCAAGCGCGAAGGCUAGGGUAGCAAACA